ACUUGUUUCCACAAGUGAUAUUCCGAGACUAACAGUGAAAAAAAUUAAUUGAAUAAUAAGAAAAUUUUUGACAGAAUAUUGUGAUUCUAAUUCACUUGAAUUUGAUUCAUGGGCCAGGGUGAGAAACAGCUCCUUGAAAGGGUCAAGGAGGGCAGUACUCUCAACACCAUACCUGGCUUAGAGCAUGGUUCCAGUAAUGGUUUUCUAAGGAAUAGGGAAAGGCAAUAUAGGAAUGCAAAACCAACUACAGUAUAACAAAAUCAGAACAAAGCAGGGAAGUAAUUUUGUGAGAAAAUUUUGCAUGUGGUUUAAUACCCCUGUGAUAUAAAAACCAUUUUUAAAUGAAGAGCUUUUCAAUGACAAAUGAGUAUUGGCUCCCAACAAAUAGAUUCUCUUGUUUUGAAUCUGCCUUGUUGUGUCUAGAAAAGGCUGAUGCAUAACAUAAAUUAGGGUGACUAAACAACAAGGCCACCAUCCACACAAUUUGAAUUCAGCACCUUUUUUUAUCCUCUUCUAUAGCACAAGCUUACAGGUUAGUUGGUUAAGGAUGAUUCUUUAGUACAAGAUAUAAGUGUUCUCAUAGAAUUUGAUAAUCCUAGGGAUCUUGAACCUGAAGAUUCUUAUAAAUUAUAAGAGACCAAGAAAUGGCAAAGAAAAAGAAAACCAGCUCUUCUAAAAUCAUGAAAUUGCUGUAUAAUGCAAUUCAAAAACAAUCAGCUUACCAAAUCACUGCGCUCAACGACACG
RNAcentral lists this unclassified non-coding RNA (746 nucleotides) under Hevea brasiliensis (rubber tree). The record is from RNAcentral. Lineage: Eukaryota; Viridiplantae; Streptophyta; Magnoliopsida; Malpighiales; Euphorbiaceae.